AUGUACCCGCCCCGGCACAGGCUUCUGAUUCAACCGACGGUCAGGGCCGCGGCCGGCGCCGACGCGUUCUUCGUUAGCCAGUAUUUCGAGCGGACCGUCACGCUCCGGUGGCGCGAGGAGGAGGAGUGGUCCGAGCAGAAUCUGCUCCUGCCGGAAGAGUUCACAAGGAGCGAUGCCAUCGACCUGGUGGCCUACAGCGGCGGCAUCUUCUACGCCAUGGAGUUCUUCGGCUUCACCCACACCGUGGACACGCGUGCGCCGCCGCCGUGGCGCCUGACGAGGCUCCGUGCGCCGAGCAUUCUCGAGCAGUACUCCCCGAUCUGCCGGUACCGCUACCUCCGGAACUCUCACCUGCUCGAGUCGGAAGGGAAGAUCAUGUUUGUGGGUCCAGUGCUCACACCAGAUGAACCCCUUUGCCCCAAGACCAUCAGAGGCUUCGAGGUGUACAAGCUUGAUCUUGAGCGGUCACGAUGGGCGAAAGUGGAGAGGCUCGCCGAUGACCGGGCGCUGUUCGUGAGCCCGCAGUCGUCGUUCUCAGUGCGUGCAUCGGAGACGCCGGGGUGCAGGGGCAACUGCAUCUACUUUGUGAGCGAAUUCGACGAAACCUACAUCCAGGACACUUGGGGUGUGUAUUCCAUGGAGGAGCAGAAGGUGCUGUUUCAACGCCCCGUCGGUGGUUCGCCGGGAAAGUACAAAGCUGCACGGUGGUUCUUCCCUAGGGCCGGUGCAUCACCAGCGCGCACAAACUGUGCAAACUCUGGAAAGAAGAGAAAUUUCCAAAUGCUCUAG
This 789-nucleotide ribosomal RNA is filed under the name Triticum aestivum (bread wheat). Its description in RNAcentral is "partial small subunit ribosomal RNA". Lineage: Eukaryota; Viridiplantae; Streptophyta; Magnoliopsida; Poales; Poaceae. The record is from RNAcentral.